Molecule: microRNA, 20 nt
Filed under: Chiloscyllium plagiosum (whitespotted bambooshark)
Lineage: Eukaryota; Metazoa; Chordata; Chondrichthyes; Orectolobiformes; Hemiscylliidae
Description: microRNA PC-3p-88329_8
Source: RNAcentral
CAAAUUCGUAUCUAGGGGAG